Molecule: ribosomal RNA, 451 nt
Filed under: uncultured bacterium
Lineage: Bacteria
Description: partial 16S ribosomal RNA
Rfam family: Bacterial small subunit ribosomal RNA
Source: RNAcentral
GUGGGGAAUUUUGGACAAUGGGCGAAAGCCUGAUCCAGCCAUGCCGCGUGUGUGAAGAAGGCCUUUUGGUUGUAAAGCACUUUAAGCGAGGAGGAGGCUACCGAGAUUAAUACUCUUGGAUAGUGGACGUUACUCGCAGAAUAAGCACCGGCUAACUCUGUGCCAGCAGCCGCGGUAAUACAGAGGGUGCAAGCGUUAAUCGGAUUUACUGGGCGUAAAGCGCGCGUAGGUGGUUUUGUAAGUUGGAGGUGAAAUCCCCGGGCUCAACCUGGGAACUGCCUCCAAAACUGCAUGACUAGAGUACGGUAGAGGGUAGUGGAAUUUCCUGUGUAGCGGUGAAAUGCGUAGAUAUAGGAAGGAACACCAGUGGCGAAGGCGACUACCUGGACUGAUACUGACACUGAGGUACGAAAGCGUGGGGAGCAAACAGGAUUAGAAACCCCAGUAGUCC